This 251-nucleotide ribosomal RNA is filed under the name uncultured bacterium. RNAcentral's name for it is "partial 16S ribosomal RNA". It matches the Rfam family "Bacterial small subunit ribosomal RNA", at positions 524 to 774 of the family's 1533-position model. The record is from RNAcentral.
UACGUAUGGUGCAAGCGUUAUCCGGAUUUACUGGGUGUAAAGGGAGCGCAGGCGGCGCGCUAAGUCUGAUGUGAAAGCCCGGGGCUCAACCGCGGGACUGCAUUGGAAACUGGCGCGCUGGAGUGCCGGAGAGGUAAGCGGAAUUCCUAGUGUAGCGGUGAAAUGCGUAGGUAUUAGGAGGAACACCAGUGGCGAAGGCGGCUUACUGGACGGUGACUGACGCUGAGGCUCGAAAGCGUGGGGAGCAAACA